Haemorhous mexicanus (house finch) is the source of this 1831-nucleotide long non-coding RNA. RefSeq lists it as uncharacterized. The record is from RefSeq and is a predicted model, not a curated record. The transcript is spliced from 3 exons. Lineage: Eukaryota; Metazoa; Chordata; Aves; Passeriformes; Fringillidae.
AUAUUUAAUUUCGGUGAUGUGACCUUGCGCAAUGCUCGAAACACAGAGUUAUAUUCUUCAUUAAGCAACUUCUAUUGUAGAAGCUAUCUGACUACAUCAGUUACGUUUACAAAAGAUGAGAAAAUUCGCCAGUCGACAUAAAAUUCGACUGGAAGACAGCAGGGCUGAGGCGGCGAGAGGUGCUGCCGCGGUCCUAAGAUGGCGGCGCCGUGAGGGGGGAGCGGGCUGGACAGGGACGGCUGUUGUUGAAGCUGCAUUGUUCCCGCUGCAGCCGCCGCCCGCCGUGUCCGCCGCGCCGUGCCCAGUAAAGCCACUGUAGGCAGCACCAUGCAGAAGAACAGCUGGGGUCCUGCCUGCCUGUGGACAGGAAGUCCUGUUUCCCACAAAAGCUGAGCUCCAGAGGAGUUGGUGCCUUCAAGAAGUGAGAUGUCAGCUCAGCCUGCACCCAUCGUCUGCUUAUGAUGUGAUUUGGUACAAGGUGGUCUGAACAGGUCUUCAUGCCCUACUUCCUGUUGUGACAUGUGUCCGACAGCCGGUGAUCUCUCUGACCCGGCUAGCAGCGGAGUGGCUGGAGAUGAGCCGCAACACGUGGUGGAGAAUGCGGGCACCCAGCGUGUGGCACUGAAGAGUGCCAACCCCCCAGCGAAUGUGGGGUAUUGAGGACAGCUCAGAGAGACUACCAAUGUGAGGCCCUAGAACACUGUGGGCUUUGGUACUCAGGAGUGAGGUUUCGCGAGGAUCAACAGAGAAGAGAGGGGAUGUAAGCUUUCAAUUUUAAGUCUUGCUUUUGUUUAAAAGCUGCCAAAGAAGACCCUAAAACAAUUACAUCAACACUUUAAGAUCAAAAUAAUCAACCCCCACUCCUCUCUAGAAUUUUUCUUAAAUUUAAUUGAUUUCUUUUGAGAUGCAUUUAUUGUGUUGUUGUUUUGUUACGUUGUCAGGAUGCUAAGAGAUUAUUUUUCAUUUCAAUAAGGUAAUCAUUUAAAUUUUCGUUUUGAUUGUGCAAUAUUUAACAGACUUCCUUUCCCAGUUUUCUCAUUCUGCCCCCCCAUGUCCCUGAACCCACUGACCCUGAGAACAGAAUGGGAGAUGGAAUCUGCCAUCUUCCCUCCUUCUCUGUCCCCUACCUAGGACAGCACUGUCCAUGCUGCCCUGGAUUGUACCCUAACCACUUUCCAUCAGCCCUCAACCCCACCCCCACUUUCCUAUUGGCAGUUCCCGAUUUUUGUUAAAAUUCAUGUUGCAGACCUUGCCGUCAUUUCCUGUUUAUUUAUGUGGGUGACCCUUGGAGUUAGGCCAGUUGACCCAUUUGUUUAUUUAUUUAACUUUGCAGCAUGAACCCUGUUUAGUUGUAAACUUUAUUUACAGCAUUCUACAUAUUUUUGUUCUCAAGUUUAGUUAAAUUGAUUGUAAAGUCUAUUAAGUAGAGUGUCAUUUUAGUUAAAAUAAGACUGUUACACGUUUCAUUUCAAAUGAAAGAAGAGAGGGGAUUUGUGCAAGUUUGUCCUGCAGGGGAUGGGCUAGGAACUGGCCUCACAGCCACACCCCAAUAUCAGACCGCUUGAAAUAAGAAACCACAACUGAUGACAUCCAAGCAGCUUAUGGUGAGGAACAAAGGACUCUGGGACCAGGUGGGAGGGGCCAUGCAGAUCAACAGCCUGUGAUUGGCCAGAAGGCUUCUAGAACAUUCUGAGAGACUGCAUUCUAUGAGAGACUAUAUAUAUGCAUGUUGGCCCCACUUCGGGGUCUUCUGAAGCAGCCUCUUUAAGUUUUGUUUUGCAUCCUUGUUUACGGCCUUUUAUUUAUUUAAUAAAUAUCUUCAGUUUUGACA